Molecule: long non-coding RNA, 447 nt
Organism: Hibiscus syriacus
Lineage: Eukaryota; Viridiplantae; Streptophyta; Magnoliopsida; Malvales; Malvaceae
Exons: 3
Source: RefSeq, a predicted model, not a curated record
CAUCUUCUCGCCAUCUCCUUCGUUUGUGCGUCUUCAGAAAUCGCUUCUUCGUUGCCAUCCAGAGAUUUUCAAGAGGGAGCUGUUGAGCCCGAAAACGUUCUGCAAAAACAUGUUGCGUUCUUCGACAGAAACCAUGAUGGCCUUGUUUAUCCAUGGGAGACUUUUGCAGGUUUUCGAGCAAUCGGGGCUGGUUAUUUGUUGUCAUUGAUCAGUUUUUUCUUCAUCAACGUUGCUCUCAGUCGCAAAACUCGCCCUGUAAAGAUCUCACCAUCUCUUUUGUAUGAUAUUAAACAAUCAGUUUGCAAUGAUAUAUUCAUAUAUGUGGAGCAUGUGCAUGUAGGGUAUGUGUGUUUGUUGUCAUUGAUCAGUUCUUUCUUCAUCAAUGUUGCUGUCAGUCGCAAAACUCGCCCUGUAAAGAUCUCACCAUCUCUUUUGUAUGAUAUUAAA